Long non-coding RNA from Zingiber officinale, 1334 nucleotides. RefSeq lists it as uncharacterized. Lineage: Eukaryota; Viridiplantae; Streptophyta; Magnoliopsida; Zingiberales; Zingiberaceae. The transcript is spliced from 6 exons. The record is from RefSeq and is a predicted model, not a curated record.
AUUUUUUCCAACUUAUUGUGCCGAUUUUUUUUCUGAACCCUAACCAGCACUUGUUGCCGCCGUUCUUACUCUUCAUCGCCCAUGCAUUGCUGUCGCCGGCGCUGCCAGCCGACACCUUCCUAUCUCGACCAGUCAGAGAACAACCUUCGUCGACCUCCAUCGCGCUUCUCCGCUUCUCCUCCACGAUUCCUCUGCAGCACCACCUCUGCCAUGAUUCCUCCGCAACCUUAAAACCUUUACAAUUGCAGGAAUGGUAGAGGCAAAAGAGACUGAAGCUAGGAAGCAUACGACGUGAAUCAAUGAUAUGAAGAAGGAUUCUUUGCACAAAACAGGGUGCGUUCGGAGUUGGGAUUGGCAAUUUCCAAGAGAUUGGACCGAUGGACACCAACCUCAAGCCUCAUAACUCGACAUGGCUGCAAAAGGCCGAUCUCCUCUUCGUGGAGAAUCCAGUGGGAACAGGGUUCAGCUUCGUGGAGGAGGAGAGCUUGCUAGAGAAGAGCGAUUGGGAGGCGGCGGCAAACUUGAUUGCACUUCUGAAGAAACUCUACCAUGGGAACGCAGCCAUGCAGCGAAGAACAAAACCCUCUUCUUCGUGCAGUCUUACUGCGGCCGGUUUGCCGUGACAACAGCGUUGUCAGUUCUCCACGCCAUCAGAGCUAGACAACUAAAGCUCAAGCCCGAAGGUGUUGCAUUGGGGAAUAACUGGAUGUCACCUAAGGACUACGUGGUAUCUCGAAUUCUCAAUCAAUCUAUUUUCUUUCAACUAAGCAACGAAAGUAACCUCAAAUCGCCAUGCAUCUUUCAUGGGGGCCUCUGCUCCGAGACAUGUUGAGGCUCGACGCAACCGAUACAGAAAAAUCAAAUAAGUAGAGUAAGUCUUUCUUUAAUUAUGCUGGAUUCUCGUUGCCUCAUAUAAUCUACAUGCUUAAUAAAUCUGUUAUUAUGGCUCGAGAGAUCAAAGAAGAGAUCGACAAUGGUGAGCUUGUCAAUGCCGCAAAUACUUGAAUUUAUGGAGACAUUUCUUAUUCUUGAUCUACAUCAAGUCAUGAUCAUGGUAGAUCCGGAUGCCUCGUGCCUAAGCGAACCUGCCCUAAGGGAAUAUUUGCACCGGUGACAGGUACUUGGAUUUUGCAUAUGAUGGUUGAAGAUGGUUGAUAGUAAAUUAGUUGAGUUUUUAUUUUAUAAGACUUUGUUAGCUUUAAAAAUCAAUGAUUUGUUAGUAUUAAGUUAGCAUUGGAUUCAAUACUUUUACAUUAGUAUUGUAUUUGUACUUUUGUGAUGAUGGGAUGAAUUGUGAUGAUAUGGUGAAUGAAUUGGAUAUUUUGGAUGUAAAA